GUAGGGGGCAAGCGUUGUCCGGAUUUAUUGGGCGUAAAGAGCGUGUAGGCGGUUUGGUAGGUCCGUUGUGAAAACUCGAGGCUCAACCUCGAGACGCCGAUGGAAACCAUCAGACUAGAGUCCGGAAGAGGAGAGUGGAAUUCCUGGUGUAGCGGUGAAAUGCGCAGAUAUCAGGAAGAACACCCGUGGCUAAGGCGGCUCUCUAGUACGGUACUGACGCUGAGACGCGAAAGCGUGGGGAGCGAACAGGAUUAGAUACCCUGGUAGUCCACGCCGUAAACGAUGGGUGCUAGGUGUAGGGGGUGUCGACUCCCUCUGUGCCGAAGCUAACGCAUUAAGCACCCCGCCUGGGGAGUACGGCCGCAAGGCUA
This 371-nucleotide ribosomal RNA is filed under the name uncultured bacterium. Its description in RNAcentral is "bacterial SSU rRNA". It matches the Rfam family "Bacterial small subunit ribosomal RNA", at positions 527 to 896 of the family's 1533-position model. The record is from RNAcentral.